GACGAACGCUGGCGGCGUGCUUAACACAUGCAAGUCGAACGGAAAGGCCCUGCUUUUGUGGGGUGCUCGAGUGGCGAACGGGUGAGUAACACGUGAGUAACCUGCCCUUGACUUUGGGAUAACUUCAGGAAACUGGGGCUAAUACCGGAUAGGAGCUCCUGCUGCAUGGUGGGGGUUGGAAAGUUUCGGCGGUUGGGGAUGGACUCGCGGCUUAUCAGCUUGUUGGUGGGGUAGUGGCUUACCAAGGCUUUGACGGGUAGCCGGCCUGAGAGGGUGACCGGCCACAUUGGGACUGAGAUACGGCCCAGACUCCUACGGGAGGCAGCAGUGGGGAAUAUUGCACAAUGGGCGGAAGCCUGAUGCAGCAACGCCGCGCGCGGGAUGACGGCAUUCGGGUUGUAAACCGCUUUCGCCUGUGACGAAGCGUGAGUGACGGUAAUGGGUAAAGAAGCACCGGCUAACUACGUG
This 468-nucleotide ribosomal RNA is filed under the name uncultured bacterium. RNAcentral's name for it is "partial 16S ribosomal RNA". It matches the Rfam family "Bacterial small subunit ribosomal RNA", at positions 28 to 507 of the family's 1533-position model. The record is from RNAcentral.